UUCAGUGCGGCUACGUCUUUCAGCUAACUCGCUGCCUCUAGCGUGUUGCGAGUAAAAAAAGAUAAUCGCGGCGGUCGAUACGCAAACGUCAUAAAUGCCAAAGUGACAGCUGACGUCACGUGUGAAGGAGACGGGUGGCGGGAAAGAGACAGAAGAUAGGCAAGGAGUGUCCACUCGGUGACGGCGGUGCGGAAGUGCGUCACAUACGGCAGUUAUGACGUCACGGCGGACACCGGAAGUACAAGUGGCGCCGCUCCGGAACCGGAAGACGUCGCCUGACAUCUUACCAGAGGUCUCGGCAGUCGACGCCACGGACAGUAGACACCGUUAGCGCCUGAUGAAGCAGUUACUGUGAUGGAGAAUACGACCGGGAAAGUUUUUAAAGAGAAUUCCUGGGAUUCUAUCAGCUCCAAUGGGUUUUUAAGUUGUGUUGAGCAACCUGAUGACAAUCGAUAAAAUAAAACGAUUAUAAAAUAUUUGAAAAAAUGCUUACAGAAUUACAGAAUGUCUAGUGCAAAUAUAAGUUAGCAGCAUUGUUAUGGGAUGUUAGUUAUCCACGAUCCACAUACAGCAUUUUAUAUUAAUUCUCAUAUAGAUCACUUUGUCUUGAAUAAAAUCCAGUUGUUUUGGAAACAGAAUUAAAAAUUCAAAGGUCAAAGUGCUUAUGAAACACUCAUUGGGAUAUUUAUUACCCAUAAGAAUGCACACCACUUAAGGAGCCCUCCACUUAGGUCUUAACCUGAUAUUACUAGAAAACCAGGAAAAUCCAGAACGACAUGAGGGCCUUGUGUCAUCGAAAGAAUCUUGCAAUGUCACUGAAAUUCUAUGAUGUUUAUCAAGGACUAACCCGAAACUGGUGGAAAAUAAGAGCAAAAUCGCCAACUUCAGGGCAAUGACAUUCAGCAUCACGCAAAGGAAAGCAUCACCCGUAGAAGCAUCACUACGGCAAUCAUAGGUCUGCACUAGCUAUUGCUCGAUUUGGCAAGUCCUAACGCCAGAGCUACAAAAAUAUUAUGAGCGAAAUCCAACUUCAGGGCAACGACAUUCAGUCUCGCGCAUUGGGAGGCGUCAUCCAUGGACCCUGGUAUCACCACAGCAAUGCGAUAGCUCGAUUUGGCAACAUCUAAGCCGAAACCGACGGAAAAUAAGAACGAAAUCGCUAAAACUUAAGGGCAACGACACCGAGCCUCGCCCGUGGAAAUGUAUUCAAAUGUAUGCGCGAUUAAUUCAGGCUGCAUAGCCAGCGGGACGGUGUUACUAGUGGCAGCAGUCUCACUUUCUACGUCGGAUCGAUGGGACCGUGACCUUCGCAAUGCUUAUUUGGCUUCUGGAUCGAUUUUUUUUUUCUAAUUUUUGACACCCGACCAAGGAGGUGAGGUCGCGCUAGGAGCGUUGUAGUUCCGGUGAUUCGACGCUGUGUUGGAAAUAUAGCGCGAUGUAUCCACGGAUUUAUAAUAUCCUAUUCCAUUUUGUAUCUGCUUUAGAAUCUAGACUCCAUCUGUGUCGUGUAGAAGUAUCCAGGAAGCAAGUCAUUUUAACCACGUGUUACAUAAAAUUAGCUGCAACCGAAGAAGUCAAGAAAAA
Molecule: long non-coding RNA, 1584 nt
Organism: Aricia agestis (brown argus)
Lineage: Eukaryota; Metazoa; Arthropoda; Insecta; Lepidoptera; Lycaenidae
Exons: 3
Source: RefSeq, a predicted model, not a curated record